Long non-coding RNA from Peromyscus californicus insignis, 5733 nucleotides. RefSeq lists it as uncharacterized. The transcript is spliced from 7 exons. The record is from RefSeq and is a predicted model, not a curated record. Lineage: Eukaryota; Metazoa; Chordata; Mammalia; Rodentia; Cricetidae.
ACAAGGGAAAAGAAGCUAGUGUCUACUGAAUGUUAUAUUCUUGACUAUAUUCCAUGUGAUUCACUUAAUGUACUUUAUGUAUUGGUAUAAUCAUAUGUAUUUAAGCAUUUGUAUCAUUGUAAUUAAGUGUCUUACUAGUUUAGCAACUGUCACCCAAAGAGUUUGAUUAAUUCCAAGUAGCCAAUUCAUGAAUUAAAGGUCAGCCUGUGCCUUCUCUUGCUCCUCUAACUACACUGAGAUGGUCCCAUAUAGAAAGCUAGUUUUUGUUAUGUGCCACCUCUAGGUCAGAGUUUUCCUGAGAAACCUAGCUAGAGCUCAAUAGUUUGUCUGAAUCUUUUGGCAGUUGCUGUUACUCAGCACAUUGAUACAUCAGACUACCAUCAAAAAUUGGAGGGAAAAACCUCACUUAACUGUGUGCAUAGUGUCAUAGGUUUGAAAUGAACAAGAUGAGAGAAGUCUUGGAUUUAUUUUAUUAGAAUUGUACUGCAUGUGCACAUACACCAUGUUAUGUGUAUCAUGUUUAGCAACUAUUUAAAGAGCAUUAUUAAUUUAUUCUCAGUUUUGUUUUCUCUUCAAACUUCCCAAGUAAAGGAAGGAUUUCUUUUUUAUCAAGUUUUUGUUUCCCUAUGACAUCAGGCUUCUUGAAAUUUUAAUGUACAUUUUACUUUUCUUCAAGUUUCUUUACAUGUAGUUUAGAAUUUUUGUUAGCCAAAUAUCGCUUCUUGUUUUUACUGAAGAAUCUCAGAUUCUAAAAAUUUUGAGUUUUCAAAAAAAAAAAAUAUCCUGGGCACAGCAAACUAGAUUCAACAUCCUAGGUAAUGGUGGUUCUGAUGAAACACCCAAAGCUAAAAGACAGUGUUCUGUGGAGAUGAAUGGUCCAAUUUGGAUGCACACGUUAUGGUCCAAUUUGGAUGCACACUUUCGUUAACUAGAGGACUGGGUAUCUUCCCUGCUCACCAGUGUUUGAGUGCCUCAGUAGGAGAAUAGGGGAGUGAGUCCAGCGUCCCAAGUGGAAGAGAACAAGAAUGACAUCACCAAGUGAGCCCAGUGGUAGACGAUUAGAAUGGCUUUAACAGGGGAAGGGCAAUCUUAAAGGAGCACCAAGGUGGUCAACAGGACUAAGAGUUUGGGCUUACAAUGAAAGACAAUAAAUCUAUUUGUAAGGACACAGGAUAUUGAUCUUCUAUAACUAGAUAUUAAAAUAGGACUGAAAGUAAUUUGUAAAAUAUGUUGCCUUUUGUGGUUAAUUGUAAGAAAUGACAAAUUCCAGAAUUCUGUUGAAAUUACUUGAGACACAGUGAAGUCUUUAUAGAAAACAGAAAUGUGUCACAAAAGAUAGGCUAGAGAAUGUUCAGUACCAAGAAUUGGAAGGAACAGAAUGAAAUUUGUCUGUGACCCAGGGCAACUGCUUCCUUUCCUGUGUAUCUUUUCCCAAGUCAUAUCUAUCCUUUUCAGAUUCAAAUGUGCAACAUCUUCAUAGAAAGUAGUAACAUGUACAGGCUUGGGGCUGGUACUGCUCCCCCUCCAUUUACCUUAUUUGCCUGAAGCAGGGAGCUAGCUGCUACUCAGGUUCUUUGAGCCCAUACUUUCAGGAAUCUGCACCUUGCUGGGAUGAAUAUUUAAAGACUGGAGAGCAUCACUGAAGACUGCAGAAGAGGGAACAAGGAGUGGUAUCCUAUAGAAGGAAGACAUCUAGAGAAUGUAGAGGGAAACAGAGGCAAAAGUACAAGGGAUCUGCUUUUCCAGAAGUCUCUGACGUCGACUGGGCACAUGAAGGUUUUUAAGUGAUUGGUGGUAGUUGAAUAAGCCUGAGCCAAUUAAGAAGCAUAAUUGAGUAAUUUACAUUGUAAUGUUUGACCCUCCCUGAGAAGAGCAUUCCUAACAGUAAUUACACAUUUAUAUAUUCAUUUAUAAAUUUAGUAUUCAAGCAUUUUAAAAGUUUUUUUUUUUUUUACUACUUCAUUAGAUGAAUGAAUGUGGUGGUUUCCUUUCAAUGUCUUUUUUUUUUUCAUUCUGAAGAAUGAAGGCUACCAUUUAUACAGUUUGGUGUUUUAUGAAUAGGGAAUAGAAUAGAAGAGACACUGUAUCCUUCUACCUUCUUUGAGUCUAUCAUUUUAUUUAAAUUUAUGUGAACAAUUGAUAGUAAUUUGGGUGCAAUCAUCAGGACAGACAAUUUUCAAGACAAAUGAUUUUCAGGUUCCACCAAAUUAUUGAUUGAUAGUAUUUAAUGUGGAACUAUGUAUGAAUUCUUAUUAGCAAGUGCAGAGAUUGGGAAAAGUGGAGGCAGAAAGUAACAAUUGAAAGAAUUUUAUAAACCAAACAUUUAAUAACAAUAUAAAGAAACACCAUUUGCUAUUCAAAUAACUAAACUUUCAGAAUAUUUUAUAGACUACUACUAACCUGUUCUGUUGUGUGUUUUUGCUUGAAAGAUAUUACCUCAAGUCGGAGUCAUUGAUUUCUGUGUGUUCAAGGACUGGAGAAGCUAAUUUUGAAACUCAGUAUGGUAUUCCUGAGAAUAUUCCGGAAAAUGAUGCAGAUGACUUACCAAUAGCUUCCGAACAAUAUGAAAAUUUAGAAGCACAAGAAGAAGAACUAGAAUUAGAAACAAUACCGGAUUUAGAACUGGAAAAUGAAAAUGUUUAUAGUAAGAAUGAAGGCUAUCAAAAAUUGGAAGCUUCCAGAAAAGCUGCCCAUUCAUCCAACAUAAGAAAUGAUGCAGAAAAAAAUAAAACAAACCAAGUGUGGGCUGAAAAAUGUCCACACCCAGAGCUUAGAGAUUAGUCUCAUCCAAUCUCCAAACCCACUGAACCACUGAAAUCUGAACCAGAUUUGUAUGAAGAACUAAAAGAAGAAAUGCCAAAAUCUAAACUGGAAAAUGAGAGAAGUUUUGAUAAGAAUGCAGAAAAUCAAGAAUUUGUAUGUAAAAAUUUAAAUUUAAACUUCUCAUUUAAUAUUGUUUGCUUUAAUGGUGUUGGCAUAUCUAGCAUGCUACAUUUUAAACUACUUUACACAGUCAACAGAUUAAUAAUUUUGUUUUUAAUUAAUAUUAAAGUGAAAGCAUUUAAUCUAUUACUAAUCACAGAAUAGUCUUAGAAUCCUGUUACAUAGCUAAAUAGUUUCCUUUAAUGUGUAGUAAGUAAAUAUCUGGUGAUUGUAAUUGCUUCAUUUUUGACAUAUUCACUCACAUGGGUAAAGAUAAGGUCAAAUGUGAGCACCAUGAUUCAUCGUUUGAAGUAAUGAAUGGGUUCUUUGUAUAUUCUAGAUACCUUCUGUUGUGUGUGUACAACUGGUUAAGACUUUUUAUCACUCUGUAAGGCCACCUUGUCAAUAAAAUGAUGGUAUCCUUUGCUAUACAGAAGAUUUUUAGUUUCAUGUGGUCUCAUUUAUUAUGUUGGUCUUAGCGUUUAUGCUACUAGUGUCCUGUUCAGAAAGUCUUUUGCUGUGCCCUUGAAUUAAAGAUUAUUCUGUACUUCCCCUCUCUCAGAUUUGAUGUAUCAAGCCUUAUUUUGAGAUACCUGGUCCAUGUGAAAUUGAGCUUUGUGUAAGGUGAGAAAUAGGGAUCUGGUUUCAUUCAUCUAUCUAUAUCCAGUGUGACCAACACCAUUUGUUUUUCACAAAGUAAAUUGUUGGCCUCUUUUACAAAAAUCAAGUGAGCUUAUAUGUAGCUCUUCGAUUAUCUUCUACUGAUCAAUGUCAUUGUUUGGGGGCCGUUGCCGUGCUGUUUUUAUUGCUAUAACUAUGUAGAGUAACUUGAAGUCUGUGAUGAUGACGCCACCAUCAGUUUUGCUUUCGUUUUUUGUUUUGUUGUUUGACUACUCUUGGUCUUUUGUGUUUCUAUAUGAAAUUUAACUUUUCUUUUUUGUUUUCUGUGAACAAGCACUGGAAACUUUUUUUCCAUAGGUCAUCUUAUUUUUUAAAUUUAUUCUUCUCUCAUACAUUACAUCCCAAUUGCAGUUUUCCCUCCCUUGACUUUUCCCCGUCCCCCAGCCCAACGCCCCUGGCACAGGGAGAGAUGACUGGAGUUGGAGGGCACUUGGGAGCGAUGUGGAAAUCUAGUGCAGUGGAAACUCCCUGGAAUCUACAAGGGUGGCACUAGUGAAGACUCCUAGGAAAGGGGAAUACAGAUCUUGAACCAGCCAUCUUCUGUACCAGGCAAGGCUUCCAGUGGUGGGACUGGGACACCAACCCAGCCACAAAAGCUUCAGCUUACAAUUUUUCCUGCCUGCAACAUGUAUUGGGAAAAUGGUAACACAUAAUUUGUGGGAGCAUUGGAAUUUUUAUGAGGCUUGUGUUGAGUAUGUAGACUGCUUUUGUUAGGAUGUCCAUUUCCCCAACUUUAACCUUAUGAAUAUGUGAUCAUAGGUGGUAUUUCCAUGUGUGGUAACUUUUUCAAUUUCUUAUUUUCACUGUCUUACACCUUUCUUUGCACAGGUCUUUCACUUUUUUGGUGAGAUUUAUUCCAAUUUAUUAUACUUUGGCGCUGUUUUGAAUGGCAGUGUUUUCUUGAUUUCUUUCUCAGCAUGUCUGUUGUCUGUAUACAGGUAGGCUACUAAUUGUUGUGCUUAGAUUUUAUAUCCUAUUACUUUGCUAAAGAUGUUAUCAGCUGUUUUCUGGUGGAGUUUUUAGAGUCUUCUUUUAGAGAAUUGCACCACCUACAAAUAAAAAAUACUUUCAAUUCUUCCUUCCAUUUUGGUAUCUCCUUUGUCUCCUCUUGUCUUACUCUUCUAGUUAAGUAUUCAAGUAAUAUAGUGUACAGGAAGAGGAAGAAUGGUCAUCCUUGUCUUGUUCCUGAUUUUAGUAGAAAUGUUUUGAGUUUCCUUUGUUGAAAUGUUGGCUAUGUGUUUGCUGUUUAUUGCCUUUAUUAUGCUGAAAAUAUGCCACCUUUCCUCUUAGACUUUAUCAUGAAGUGAUGAUGGAUAUUGUCAAAGGCUCUUUCUGCACCUAAUGACAUGAUCAUGUGCUUUUCGUCAUUGAGUCUGUUUCUGUAAUGAAUGAUGUGAAAGUGCUAACCUCUGAGUUGGAUUCAUUAGAAAAGUUGUAAUUCUCAUUGAAAAAAAAAAGAAACAAACUGUGGUUCCAUAUUUGCAGUCAGUCACAGUGAGGUUGAAAGUUCAUAUUUUUCCUCAGGGUCACAGAAUGAUUUCAAAGUCUUUAUUUAAAGAAAGUAUUUGAUCAUAUAGUUCAAUUAAUUGCCUAUUAAGAGAAUGUUCACUUCUAGAAUAGAGGCUUUGUCAUUAAUGUACAACAAAGAUAUUCUUUAGCUCAUUUGAAUGAGAAUUAUUUCCCAGUGAUUAUCCACUAUCCUUAGUGGGUACAUUUUGAGGAACUGAGUAAUGAAAAGAGUUCACAUAGAUGCAAAGCACCAUAUAUUUCCAUUUUACACAAUCUUUUCAGAGAAACAACAUACAGUAAUAUGCUCAGGACAUGGUGAAGGCAUUUUAAGAUGUUUUGAACCUAUAUAAAUUUCCUUUAGUGAAUAUCUGCUCUAUGCUGAGAUGUCAAGCCCUGAAUUUAUAGGUGAGGGCAUAUACUACAGUGAUGGAACAUAAGUCAAGGAAGAAGUAAGCGUUCAAAUCGGAUAUAAGGAAACUGUAAGGUGUCAGUGUGGAGAAAUUUAGGGAAGGUUGUAGUGCAUACAGGACGGGAGUGAGAAUCAUAUUUUGUGGUGAGAGAUCUUUCUGAGUGUGAGGCUUAAGAUACUGAACUGGGAAUGAGCAUGUGCUCACUCAGUGA